AAUAAGUGCAGCCAUAAAUUUUCGCGUCCAAUUUUAAUCGUCCGUCUUAUUUGAAAUUUUUUUAUAAUUAGUAUUUUUGUUGUUAUAAGAUAAUAAAACAUGAAUAGUACUUUACUCGUGACUUAUAUUUUUAAAUUUUUUAAAAAUAAAAUUUAAAUAAGAUAAACAGUUAAAAUUGGGCACGAAAAAUUAUAGCUGCACUUAUU
Molecule: non-coding RNA, 206 nt
Organism: Oryza nivara
Lineage: Eukaryota; Viridiplantae; Streptophyta; Magnoliopsida; Poales; Poaceae
Source: Rfam